This is a small nuclear RNA of Catharus ustulatus (Swainson's thrush), 61 nucleotides long. Its record names the gene U7. It matches the Rfam family "U7 small nuclear RNA". Rfam says of the family: Animal histone pre-mRNAs are spliced by a different mechanism than nuclear pre-mRNAs and self-splicing introns. This processing involves the U7 snRNP, which contains only one RNA species: U7. The record is from Ensembl. Lineage: Eukaryota; Metazoa; Chordata; Aves; Passeriformes; Turdidae.
CAGUGAUUUCAGCUCUUUUAGAAUUUGUCCAGCAGGUUUCCCGCUCUCGCGGGAAGCCGCU